CAUUAUUGAAUUAUGUUUUCURGUCAGGUUGUCGCUGGCUCUUCGGAGCAUGUGCACGCUUGUCUGGAUUUCAUUUUCAUCCACCUGUGCACCUUUUGUAGGCUUCGAAAGCUGAUGUCUGGUAAAGUGUUCGACCRUCGAGAGGUUACUCUCGGAUGUGGGGACUGCAGUGUGAAAACACGGCUUUCCUCAGUGAUCAUGAUAUCGUUCAUCGACCGUUCGGAGUCUAUGUUUUUCAUACACCCUGUAGUAUGUCAAAGAAUGUUCUUGCAUGGGCUUUGUGCCUAUGAAAAUUGUAAUACAACUUUCAGCAACGGAUCUCUUGGCUCUCGCAUCGAUGAAGAACGCAGCGAAAUGCGAUAAGUAAUGUGAAUUGCAGAAUUCAGUGAAUCAUCGAAUCUUUGAACGCAACUUGCGCUCCUUGGUAUUCCGAGGAGUAUGCCUGUUUGAGUGUCAUUAAAUUCUCAACCCUCCAACAUUUUUGUGUCGGAGGGCUUGGAUUGUGGAGGCGUGCUGGCUUUGACAAAGGUCAGCUCCUCUGAAAUGCAUUAGCGGAACCGUUUGCGAUCUGCCACAAGUGUGAUAAUUAUCUACACUGGCUAUGGGGGAUUGCUCUCUUAGUGUUCAGCUUCCAAUCGUCUUUGGACAAACUUUUUGAAUACUUGACCUCAAAUCAGG
This 678-nucleotide ribosomal RNA is filed under the name Hymenagaricus ardosiaecolor. RNAcentral describes it as "eukaryotic LSU rRNA". Lineage: Eukaryota; Fungi; Basidiomycota; Agaricomycetes; Agaricales; Agaricaceae. The record is from RNAcentral.